ACUGCUAACAAUAUACAAUAGUAAAAAUCACUCUUAUGAACUCACAAAUACUAGGCACCAAUAAGAGUAUGAUACAGCCAUUCUAAAUGAAAGAGAAUACAACUGUUUUACAACUAUGUCACAUCAAGAGAUAUGUUAGCAGGAUUAAUCCAGAUACCUAGGGAUGGCAACUGGAUCGCUCUAUAAUGGAUAUCCACAAUAUCCAUCCAAUUGGAUCGGAUAAUAUCCAUCCAAAAAUUUUUAGAUUUUGAAAUGGAUAUUUUAAAAUUAUAUCCAAAUGGAUAUGGAUGGAUAUAGAUAAUUAUUUUUACCCAAUGGAUAUCUAUUUAACCCAACACAAGUUUAAAAAAUUUUAAUUUUAUAAAAUAAAAAAUAAAAAAUAUAAUAAACAAACAAUUGUAAAAAUAUUAUAUUAACUAGUGAAAAUUUUAAAUUCAUCUUAUAUUAAAAACUAAAGUUUUCAAAAUUAUCCUUUAAUUUUUUAACUUAUUUAAUAUUAUUAAAAAUUAUUAUUUUAUUUUAUUAAUUUAAUAUUAUAAAUGGACAUCCACCGGAAAGUCACCGGACCUCCUCCGGAAUUCACCGGAAAGUUGCCGGACCACCGUCGACUUCGCCGGAAUUCGCUGGAAAGUUGCCGGACCACCGCCACCAACCACCAGACCGCCAUUUUAUAUAUAUAUAUAUAUAUAUAUAUAUAUAUAUAUAUAUAUAUAUAUAUAUAUAUUAUUACUAAUAUAAAUAGUUUAAUAACCAAAUUUAAUAUUGGAAUUUUAAUUAUUUUAUAUUAUUAUUUUUAUAUAAUAAAAAUAAAAUAUCCAUAGAUAUUCAUGGGUCUCCAUAGUUAUAUGGAUAAAAUCUAUAUCCAUGUCCAAUAUUAAAUACUGGAUAUGGAUAUAGAUAUAUCCAUUAUCGAUAAUUAUGGAUUUGUGUUUGGAUGGAUAAUAUCCAUCCAUAAUUGAAUAUUUGCCAUCCCUACAUAUACCUUUGAACCCAAUUAACCAACUCGAGUCAGAAACCAGGGGCCCCCAACUGAACCUUACAAUCUUGAAGGAAGAAGGAGACUUGUGGUCCAGAUAGGAGACUUACUAGAUCUCCUGCAAAAGAGAAUAUCUAUUGCUUUGAACCUCCAUUGAAAUUUCUUUUUCUCUUUUUCUUGUUUUAACUUGGAACUUUCCAGCAUCAUCUAUUUGAUCUUUUUUGAAGGUAAAAUAGCAAUCUAUAGGUUGCCAACAUGUUAUUCUGCCAAACCCCACCCCCCGGGGGACAACAAAUAGUGCCUACUCAACUUAUGUUUUCCAAUGGACGACAAUAUGCAAAUCGACCCAGUAGCCACAUUUUUCCUCCCUUUCAACCACCGUUAGGCAACUUUUCUAACCUUCCUUCAUUGCCCACACGUACAGAACUAUAAUAAAAAGACUACAUUAUUAUUGGGGUAGAGAAAAUAUGCAGACUAUAUUAUUAUUACAUCACAUUUUACUAAUUAACUAGUGCACGACUUAUUUAGUGUCAAAUCAAGAACUAAUUAGAAAAGACAACUCUUGAUAAUACAGACCUUAACAAGCAAUAGCUAACAACAUCCCAUAUACUCUUAUUUUAGCCUUCACUAUCCUGGUAAAAACACAAAUAAGUCUUGCAAACGAACAUUUAUAAGUAAAUUCAACAUUAAUUAAGAUUAGGUAUCUACUGCACCUUCAAUCAAUGACUGGGUGAAUAGCAUGGUCAACCAUCUAGUUCCUGUAGCCUUCCAUGUACCUAUGUUAGUUACAUUUUAUAUAUUAAGCCAUGAAAAUGAAGAACUCUUCCAUUUCAAACAGUGUUAGAAGAUAUUUGCAAAGCCUAAAGAUAACAUACGAGGACCAAGAUAUACACAGAUAGUUUCUUUACGGGACUAAAGAGCUUUUUUAGAUGUUAAAACUGUUUCAAACUCUUUUUCUUGUUUGGUUUAACUAAGGAAGAGCUUGUGGAAGAUUAAAAAUGAUGUUUCCUGUUCUCUGUAGGAAGCUUUUAGGAGAUUUUUUGGGUUUUUUUGAAAGGUUGAAUUGUCAAAAAUACCUUGAUGUUAUUGUUUGCUAAAAGAUGUUAUGGACAACUAAACAACCAACAACAUUUUGUUAAAAGCUCUACUAGUGUAGGAUCUACUUAAAGAAGCUAUACCAAACAGAUUCUUAGACUAAAUAACUCGAUCUUAAGUUUGUAAAAUUGGGCUCAGAAUCUCCACUAACAACCCCGCUUCGGUGAGAAAGCCCAAGCCUGUUACUUUGUAUAACCUUAUUCUGUAUGUUUGAUUGCAGGAACUGGCCGAUCAUACCGACGAGGUGAGUGUGCAACAUGAGGUGCUUGACGGGAUGUUUACUUUCUAUGAUACAACUAAAGCUAGCCUCAACAUAUAUCAGGUGCCUGCUUGUUUUUACCUUCUAGAUACUAAUAUUGUUUAGACGUGUAAUCUCUCUCUCCAUUGAACGCUAGACGGCUCGUCUCAAGCCUUCUACGUACAUCAGAGUCCUUCUUUAGCUUUUUAUGUAUAAAGUUUUGAUCUUUUUCCUUCAUUUGCUUGAAGCUCAUUACUGCAGAUUUUUUUUACAGGUUGCUAGUGUAACAUUCGACUUGCUGUUGCUUCUAGUGUUGGGAUCGUAUUUAAUUGUGCUUUUCAGCUUUCUUGUCACAACAACUUGGGUAUUACUCUUUCUCCAUAUCAAGCUUGAAGUUCUAAAUUUCAGUUUUAUCUUUUAUUUGAUGUUUUAUAAUUUCAUUGCAAACAGAUUAGAAUAGAAACUUCAAAAGUUCCAACUGACUAGUCCCGUGUAACUUUUUCAGGGAAUAUUUUCUCUCAUAACAACUACGAAUGUGUUAUGGUUUAGCUCAGUGACACAAAGGAUAGAAAAUCUAAGAUGCGAAAAAUUUUUGUUGAGAUUCAUUUUUCAUCCUGAUGUUACAGCUGGCCUUUUUUUUUUUUUUUGGCAGAGAAUAAUGCUUGUGUGAUUUCUGAACUUGGUGAUUGUUGAAAUGAGCUGAAAAUGAGCUGGAAAUGUGUUUGGUUAAUGAGAAAGAGAGCAAGAAAAUGAAAGAAAUCUAUUUCACUUUUUAUUUAUCAGCAUGAUUACAUUCACAAUAAAUCUAAGCUGCUAUUUAUACUUAAAUGAAUACACACGAGAAUCUUCUUGCUAGAUACUUCUAGAAACUCUACACGCACACUCACAUUGAGCUAGUGGUUACUAAAACCGUUACAACGAUAUUGCCAGCUCAGCAUAACCAACUUAUAACUAACACACUCAGCUGCAGGGGAAACCAUCAAGCUUACUGUGCAUCCUCUGUACUCAAGCUUCUUUAAGCAUGCUCUGCAGAUCAUACUCAAGCUUUUUUUUUCAUAGAAGUUGCAAUCUUUACGUUAUAUACUAGUUUGACUAGGCUAUAUAAGGAAGCUAUAUGAAAUUAGAAAAAUAAGCUAUACUAGGAAAGAAUAAAUAUAUGUACAGAAAAUUAGGCUAUAAUCUCUGACUUUAAACAAAUUUAAUAUCAAUUUUCUUCUGGAAGUUGUCUCGCAUGGGGCGCAUCAGUAUUGUAACGUCUGAUGGGUCUUACAUUAUCCACAAAAAUAACUCGUCCAUCUAGUACCUGCAAGUACAUACUCUGAGAUGCUUAAACUCAACAAUAUAAGCAUGGAAAAUUAGAGAAAAAUGAUGCAAUUUUACCUUCCCAUUCAUGUCUGCCGAGGCUUUUUGGGCUUCCUCUUCUGUACUGAAAGUCACAUAUCCGUAACCUUUUGAUCUAUUCUUACCUUUAUCCAUUAUUAUUGUAGCUGCAAACAGAAAAGAAUCGGAUAUUACAAAAUAGUGAAGAGGGAAGAGGGGUUGAGACUUAAAACAGAAAUAGACCAAACCCUCAGUGACGUGGCCAAAUUGUGAAAAAGCAUCAGCUAACAUUUCUUUAGUGGUUGAGAAAGAUACGCCUGCAAAGGAUGCCAGUUAAUUUUAUCAUAAUUUUAGAUGGUAAGAUUGCAAAUUCUGCAGCCAAAGGUAGUACGGAACUGAAUGAAGGAAAUCAAAUAUGAAUAUGUUUUCAAUCUCAGAAUAUUAAGAGUAGCAUAAGUAACUUGUGAAACAGUUACAAGUUCAACGGAAUUAACUGAUGGCAUGGUUGAAUUUUGUAAAUAUUUGAUAUUUUGAACCGAACACGGCAAACAGAUGGAUCCAGAUAAUCAAGAAAAACAUCAAUUCCAUGCAACCAAAUUAGUGUGGGCAAUGCAAUUGAGCAACACUAUAAAAUUAUUCAAAGAAAUCUCUAGGUCAGUAUCCAAAUAUAUUUCUGAAAAUGUUUUUUUCUCAUUAGCGCCGCCAUUUUUGUAAUAGAGGGUAAAGAAAUAAGUAACAAAGUAAGAGGUGAGCAGAAGCGGCCCAAUUUAGCUAUAUGCCAUGCAUGCGAUCAAAAUUGAACGGUUAAAUGGCAGCCACUAUGUUACAUCUUGUGUAAGUAACAAACCGCCUACAUGGAUCGUUGGAUUUGGGAAUAUGAAAUCCAAUGGAUAAUAUUGAAUUUAACGAAAAAUAGAUUACAGGUUGCAUUAGUCCAAGUUUAUUUCAAACAAACCAGCUGACGAAAUAGCCGCUAAUCAAAUUUAAAAGGGAAAAAAAAAUCAAAUUAUAGGUUAUAGAUCUUAUUUCCAUCUUAAAUCUAUGUCUUUCGUGGUGACUCAAUUUGUAAACUAAUUUAUAAUUUGGAUCUAUAUUAGAGCUAAUGCUUCCCUAAAUAACUAAGAAAAUUUUCUUUUCAUUGAUUAAAUAUUUAUUUCCAAUAUCUUGUAUAUGUAGGAUUUGAAAAGAGGGAAAAUAGUAGGGAUGAUAAUGAGAGAAGAUAGAGAUGUCGAUUCUCAAAUCUAAUAUUAGUGCUAUACUUAUAUUCCUAUACUAAAUAAAUUAUCCAAGGUUCGUGCUUAACGAUACGUUGCAAAAUUUUAAUUUCUAUUUAAAGCUCUGUCUAAUAUGGCUUUUCAUAAAGCUUAGAGAAAAGUAGAGCUUUUACCAAAAAAAAAUUAAUUAGAAUUGUCAAUGAUAAAUUUUAAAAAGUACUUUAAUAAAUAAGCUUUUAAAGUUAUAUAUAUUAUGAAAGAAAUGAAAUAAGAUUAUAUAAUAAAUUAAGAGUAUCUUAGAUAAUUGAACUUUAAAAAAAAAACUCGCUAAGAGGUUUAAAAUUUGAGUUUUAAUAGUGGAUACAAAAUAGUUUAUUUAAUUCUCAAAAGCUCUACUCAAAAUAGUUUAUUUAAUUCUCAAAAAAUAUUUUUUUCAUUGAGUAAAUAAUACUAAACAUGCACUAAAGUGUUAGGACCAGAAGUUGUACAAAAAAUGAUGGCUACAACUUAAAUUAUGAAUGGAGUAAUCGGAGAAUAUUGAAACCCGUUUAAUUUGGAUCGUGCAUUGAGGGACGAAAGGAUAAAAAAUUUAAUUUUGAAAUUGCUGUUGGGUACGGUACAAUGACUUACCGUUGACAGCUUUUGCAACCGGAUUACAAUCGGUUAGUUCAAUAAUUUUAUAUCCCCAUUUAACCGCCACGUGCUGCUGUUACAUGGGUCAAUUAGUCAUGUCAUUACUGUUACUUACAGAUGCCGUAACAUAACCGGACCCUGGUUAAAUUCUGUUGUUUCCAAUAAUUUUAUGCUGUAUCUUCUUUAAUAAUAAAGAAAACUUGCAUUAAAAUUAAAAUUAGGGUAAUACCUGAUUUUAUAAAUAGAUUGCAAUGUAAUUUUGAAAAAUAAAACAAUAAUUUACAAAAUGUUUAUAACAUAAUUUUAAUUUUUUUUCAAAAAGGAAAAAGAACAAAAGUAAGAAAUAGAGAAUUAGGGCUACAAACUUUGUAUCUUAAACGGCCGUUAGAUUAUUUGUAAAUGAAAGCAACGGUCAGAUAUUGGUGGAUUAUGGAAACAUGUAAUCAUAAGGACUGUGAGUUUUUUUUGUUACAUUAAUAUAUUACAAUCAAAUUCUAUUAGUAUUUACAACUAGAAUUUCAUUUGACUAUCUUUGAUAAUUCUAAACUAGUACAACCCAAAUUCUUAUUCUCACAUAAUAUCAAAGAGAGAUAUAUAUUCUUCUCCUCUAUUAAUAAAGAGACAUUUUUAUUUCCUUUUAAUAGUUAGGACUCAGAACUCAUACACGCUAGUUUGAGAGUGUUGGGUGUGACAAUGAGCCAGGAGACCAUUGACAAGUACAAAAGAGUGGUAGAAAUUAAUUCAAUCCGCUACACACGCUAUUGCAACCAAAUUGAGGGCCCAUUUUUGUUUAUUUGGUUGAAAAAUAGUUUGCAUAAUUAAUUCAAACCGCUACACACGCUAUUGCAACCAAAUUGAGGGCCCAUUUUUGUUUAUUUCGUUGAAAAGCAGUUUGCACAAUUAAUUCAAACCGCUACACACGCUAUUGCAUCUUUUGAAAAAGAAAAACAGAAUAGUUUUCUAAAAUUAAUUCCGAGAAGAAGAUUAACUAAUAAUGAUGUUAGAAAUUUUAAUAUUUGAGUCUUAAUAUUAUGUAUCACUCAUUUAUUAAAUAAUAGAUUUCAUAAUUUAUAAAAUUACUUAACCACUUGAUAAAUGUUAUAUUUGUUGGGACUAAAUUGGGACUUAAAUGUUGGAAUAUCUAGUAUUGCAUUAAAAAAUAAAUAAAAACAUAACAAUUUAUCUUCACUUGACUAAUUGUUUUUACAUCACAACUAACCUUAAUUAUUUUGAAAGUUACAGUAUUAUUAAAUUGUCCUAACUGGUUAUCAAAAGUUGAAGCAUGUUAAAAUAAAAAAAAUUACCAAGAAACAUGUGCUUAAACAGAGGUUAAGGCUAUGAACAAUUAAGAAGAAACUCUUAAUUUGGUCCCAGUUAGUAUAAUAAUCAUCUAUUGAGCGGUAAAAUAUUAAUUUUAAUAGUGAUGAAAUCCAAUAUAUAAUAGAUUAAUAACACACAUAAAUUAAAACUUAACUGUCAGAAAUCAUAACAUUACUCUACUCUUCAGUAGAGUUCUCUUAACAGAUUAUGUGAGAUUGCCUACAUUAAAAAUAGGUUAAGACUGCUUGUUGAAAGCAAUAUUCGCUUUUUCAUUAUAUCCAUAACUUUGUUGGGUCCCUCUAUGGUGCCGUAAUUUUUUUUACGGUAUUAAUAGUGUAACAAAUUUGUACCAUUAGAUAUAAUCAACGGUACACAUUAUUUUUAAUAAUGAAAAUAUUUAAUUAUUUCACAAAUGUUAUAACCGGUUAACAAACCGGUUGCAAAACCUAUUUUAAAUUUAAAAGGAAAGAAAAUAGAGAUAUAAUAAAACUCAAUCUCCUUCUUUAUCUCAUAAAAUUCGUAAUCUGUUUAUCUCCUUUGUUGUUGUAUUGAAAUUGGAUUCCUCAAUGCUGUCUCAGUUCACAAAUGAUUAAUCGUGUCAAAUCGUAAGCUUGUUCUUAUCGUUCAACUUUUUCUCCAUUUAUUGCCACAUUUAUUUGAUAGGUAGGCUUUUAAAUUUAUUGCUCGAUGGUGACAUUAGACAAGGAAUCACAGAUUUGAUGUUCUUUGUUGUACUAAAUUCAUAUCAAAUCUUGCUUUGAUGCUAUAAUAUAUUUAGUUACUACCUUACAUUUUCUUUUUUCACAUUUGAAAACAAAUUCUUUUUAUUCAUAGGAUUACAUAAAGUGCGCAGCCCUGAAGUUUGAACUUCAAAGGAUAAAGUUGCAUUGCAGCAUGUUAAGCAGCAAAGCUUCUUCACUGCAUUAGAUAGAAGACGGUGAAUCAAGUGCAGCCAAGACUUGGCUGAGUCAGCAAUUAACCACCAAUCGUUUAAGAAAGAGGGGCAAAGCAAGUUGAGGCCCACUUAUUAAUCUUAGCCUCUGAUUCCAUUCUCCUUUUCUCCGUCCUGAUUUGAUUAUCUCCAGCAGUGACGCUAAAGGUUAAACUGGCAUGAUCUUGCCCACAUAUAAAUGUAUUUUUUUUUUUUAGGAUCUGAAGGGGCAAAUUUUUUUUUCAAGUUUGUUAUAUGAUCUUUUGUGAAGACCUGAAGAUACGAGAGUCAGAUUAAUAAUUUUGUCUCUCUUAGGCUUUAUGCAGUGGGAAUGAACUUUCUCUCUUUUAAUUCUCUGCCAUUUUCUCAAUGAAGGCAGCAAGAGAAUAUUCAGUCUUUCAAAGUCUCAACAUUCAUAAUUUGGCCAGUCUAGUUGUUUACCUUGCAUCUGCUGGAGUAUUAUAUCGCCAAGAGAUUUUUCCGUUGCACUUUACGAAUUUAUAUUAUUUUGAGGAGGGAAUUCAGCUAACUAUUAAUAUCAUACAAUUGAAAUUUAAAUGUCGGUCUUUAAAUUCUAAAGAUUAAAGACAAGCCUAAUAUGAAAAUACAGAUGUUAAAAUCUUCAUUUUUGUUUAUUGAUACUUUAUUUGUUAGUAUCAUAAUUUUAGAGAUAUAUUUGAUGUUACAUGAUUGACUAAAUAUUAACAUUAAAAUGCAGAUGGAAAGAAAAAAUGAUGGAGGGCUCCAUAAAAGCAUAAAAAGAAACGGAGAUGGUGAAGCAAACUUUCGAAAUUGCAACCAUGAGAAGGAAUUGACAAAGCUUAAUGAAAAAAUGGAUGGGAUGACAUUUAAUCUUGUCGCUGUCAGGCAUGAACUUGGUGAGCUGAAGAGGAACAAUUUAGAUACUUAUGCAUUGGUACAAAAAAUGUAUAGUGUAGUUGAAGCACUUGAACGUAAUAUAACUCAUAUGCAAUCACACGCAUGGAAGGAAAAGAUGAACUCUUCUAGUAAAGAUGUUCAAAAUAGUAAAAAUGAAUCAAGUGGUCAAAAUUUCGUGGAAAAGGGAGAUGAGUUUGGGGUGAAGAUCGCAGAGAUUAAGGACAAGAUUGAAGACGCAUGUGAUGAAAAUUUAUCAUUGAAAAACUUAUUUGUGUAUAGGAAACAAAAAGAGAACCAAAUCUUCCACAAUGUUGUUAAAAAGGUAUGAUAAUAAACUAUUAUUCUACAUUUUUUUUUCAAAAAUAUUUGUAUAGCACAUUCAUUAAACAAAAAAAUAAUAAUAAUAAAAUUCAUGUUCUUAUGCAUGUAGGAUAAAGCCAUGGAUGCAGUUGAUUUUGUGGAUUUGGUAUCAUCGGUGGAAGUAGAUGCAAUUGAGGAUAAAAAGGUGCGUCCUCGAAAGCCCAGUCGUUAUAAAAAAUCUCCUUAUGAAAAUUUUACAAAAAAAAAAGGCUAUCGCAAGAAGGAGUUCGAUUUAUCCAAACAUGGAGCUUCUUUUUCGGAGGAAGAAUGGUAUAUUUUACAGUAUAUUUUUCAUGAACAACUAGAUAAAAGGUAUGGAACUAUUUAAAUAUAAUCAUAUUUUAUAUGUUUGUAUUUUGAUGUUAUUAUUUGUUUUAAUUAACUAUUAAUGUGAGUGUAUAACUUAUGCAGAGAGAAAAUUGUAAUGACAAAACGACAUAUUGUUACCCGCUUCUUAAUGUCUUCUUUAGCUCCUAAUGUUUGGAUAUUUGAUGAGGUAUAUUGUGUUAGUGUGUGUGUCUAAUAUUCAGAGCGUAAUAAGAUUAUAUGUAUUUAAUUUAUAAUUUAUUUUUCAUUUGGUAGUGCAUGUUUUAAUAAUAAUGUUGUGAUGAUUUUAUUCAUAGAUCAUAAGUUGCUAUGCUGAGUAUUUAACUAGAAAGGAGAGUUUGAAGCAAGAUAAUGAGACUCGAAAUUGGUUUUUACCAACUCUUUUUGGGGUAUGUUAUAAAUUUUUGUUGUUACAAAUAUAUAAUAUGCUUUUACAAAAAAAUUAGAAUUUUUUUAAAAUUAUAUCUUACCAUCUUCAUAUAAUUAUUAAUUUAUGAAUGUUGUAGCAAAUAGUGGCGAAUGUGUCAGGUGUUUCAACUAUUGAUAGAUCAGAGAUUGAAAUUUCGGUUCGUAAACAUAACAUUUGUGAAUUUUACAUGGGUGCACUCAAAAGAUGUGAAAAGGUCAGGAAUAUUAUCAUAUGUUCAAAAAACAAAAAAAUUUAUUUACUCAAAUAUCAUAUGUUUUAUUAUUAUCAUUUGAAGGGAGUAAUGAUUAAUACAAAAUUAGUGUAUUGUUGCACAGAUAUAUGUUCCUCUUUAUGACGGGCUUGCAAAACAUUGGUAUCUUGUAAUAAUGAAUAUAAAAGAUAAGACUGCUGAGAUUUGGGAUUCUUUGCCUAAUUCUGAAAUAGAACCAAAUCAUCGUCAAGAAAUCGUUAAGCAAAAUGUAAGUUCAAAUUUUUUAUUUGUUUAUAUGAAAUUACUAGAUGCAAUAUAUAUUAACUAUCAUUAUUAUUAUGCAGUACAUGCAUUGGNNNNNNNNNNNNNNNNNNNNNNNNNNNNNNNNNNNNNNNNNNNNNNNNNNNNNNNNNNNNNNNNNNNNNNNNNNNNNNNNNNNNNNNNNNNNNNNNNNNNCCUAGUCUUGCUUCGUGAUAUAGCCUUUAACUUUCCUUCUGAUUGGGUAUUUCGUUGACUUUGACAUUUUAUAUCCAAAUAAUGUGCCAAUUCAACCAAAUGGAAAUGAUUGUGGCUUGUAUGUGAUGAAGUUUAUGGAGACUCCAUGUGAGAUGUUAUUCCCAACUUAUAAGGUAACUUAAUCAUACAAUUUAUAUUUCUUAGUUUGCACAAUACUUUAAUCAAUAUUAAAUUGUUAUUAAUUCUAUUAUAUGCAGUAUGAAUCGGAUGAAGAAAGAUUUCGUCUUGCGCUACUCCUUGUAAAUGGUGAUGCAAAUGAAGUAAGAGAUAGUGUUAUACAAAAAGCACUAUCAUUCCGUGGUCCUAAGACGAAUGUUAUUGCAACUAGUAAAGUUAGAACUAAAGUUGCUUCUCAAAAAAAACAUCGUUCAAUUAAUAAAGUUAGAACUGUAAUUGGUACUGGAGAAUAUUUGAAGAAACCAGGAAGAAAAUCCAAUUGAUCUGCCUAGUAGAGGUUUAAUAAAUUUGGUAUUGGACGUAAUUUGUAUUUUGUCACUUUUAAUUUUUUUGUCCCCUCAAUUGAAUUUUAUAUUCAAUGUAAAGUUUUUAUUUGGAUUACUUAAUUUUCUUUUUUAGUUUUUAAGUUUUUGGAUUACUCUUUAUGAAAAUUUUGUGUCUUGUUACUUUCAAUUUUUUUUGUCCCCUUUAAUUGACCUUUGUAUUCGAUGUAAAGUUUUUAUUUGGAUUACUCAUUAAGUUUUGUUAGCUUUUGAGUUUAUGGUCUCUUCCAAUUAAAAACUUUCAAAAAAUAAUAGCCUGCUUUUUUUUUUUUUGUGUGUGUUUUAAGUUCAGCCUACAAGUGAAUGACUGUAAGUCGUUAACUAAAAAUCUAAAAAUGUCAAAUGUCAAAUAUUCUUCCGCUUCUCAUCACCUUCUUUUCCAACCUAUAAUAUGCCAAACAAAAAUGCAUCAAUAAAAAUAAAUUUAGAUAACAGCUAAAAUAUUCAACCUUUGUAAGAAUUAUCCUAAUAUAAAUAUACCUCAUUAAGUACUGGACAUUUGCGUCUAUUGUGUCCAGGUAAUUUGCAAUACCCACAUUUUUUCAAAUUGACGCCUUUAUUAAAUCUUGCACUAGGAGCACCUUUCGUCUUCACACUUAAUGGAUCUUUUAUAAUAGCAACAUUUCUCUUCUCACUGGACCAUCUACCUCUUUUCUCUUCAAAAUUCCCACUCAACUCUAACAUUUCAGACUUAAGUUGUGUGAUAAGACCCUUUAAUUUCAAGUAUCCAGCAUCUGUCAUCGAGGCAUAGAAAAAUGUGUCUAGUUACAGAAGAAAUUUACAGAAUCAAAUUUUGACUUCGCUUCUUAAAGAUAUUCACGAUUUAGUGCACAAAGGUCACAACCGUCUAGAAACCACACAAGAUCCGAUGUUUCUGAAUUAACUGAUAUCAAUUAACAAGGAAUAAAAUUAAAAACUAUAUAUCUAUAGAAAGAUUUAUUUUUCAGGAGUUCAAAUAAUUUUACGGUUUUCUAUUUGAAGUUUUCUACAUGAAGAUAUGGCUUAAAGAAUGCUGACUGCUCAAAAUCACUGAAGCAACCAAGUCUAUGAUUAUCAGAAAACUUGCAUGAUUAAACUGUACUGAUCUAGAAUAUAUGAGAUUGCAUACUAUAUAUUUUUUGAUAGAUAAAUAUGUCUAGUUACAGAAGAAAUUUACAGAAUCAAUUUUCGACUUCGCUUCUUAAAGAUAUUCACGAUUUAGUGCACAAAGGUCACAACCGUCUAGAAACCACACAAGAUCCGAUGUUUCUGAAUUAACUGAUAUCAAUUAACAAGGAAUAAAAUUACAAACUAUAUAUCUAUAGAAAGAUUUAUUUUUCAGGAGUUCAAAUAAUUUUACGGUUUUCUAUUUGAAGUUGUCUACAUGAUGGCUGAUGUGUUUCAGCAGAUAUUACAAGAGGAAAUAUAUCUUCUCCCAGUGAUGGUUUUGAGAGAUCGUCCAACUCAUAGAAGCCUAAGUCGAUGCCUGUUCCCGAAGGCUGACGAAACUUCUGACCCAAUCCUUUCUUAAAGGGAAUUUUUGCCGGCAUAUAAGCUUCAGGAAACAGUGGAACAAACUUACAGUUGGGCUCUUCCUUGGCAAAGUAGAAAACAGUGAUGCUGCAGAUAAGAAAAGAAAAUAAAGAGAUAUGGCUUAAAGAAUGCUGACUGCUCAGAAUCACCAAAGCAACCAAGCCUCUGAUUAUCAGCCAAAUUCCAUGAUUUAACUGUAUUGAUCUAGAAUAUAUGACAUUACAUAAUAUAUAUGUUUGGAUAGAUGAAUGUAUCUAGUUGUGGAAGAAAUUUACAGAAUCAAGAUAGACUAAUAAUAACUUAAUAUUAACAAAAUUUUUAUUGUACAUGUUAUUUUAUCAAUUAUAUUUAUUGUAACACUUUAUUUGUAUCAUAUGAUUUUUAUUUGUUAUUUUUAUCCUAUUACUAUAUUUAUAUUUAUUUAGAUUGAUUUAGUCAAAAGGUAUAAUAGUCAUUUAGGAAAUUAAGAGGGUCUAUGUGACUAUUUAUGAAACUAAAGGAACAUGUAUAAUUAUUUUAGCAAAUCUUAGGGGUGUGGGUGGUUUUUUCCGAAAUUAAUAUUGAUUUAAAAUUAAAAAAUUAAUAUUUACCUGUAACCUGUAAGUUACCUGCUCUAUUUUAAUUAAUUAUCUAAUUAUCUAUUAUAUUAAAUGAAUGAUUCAGAUUAAAACUCUUAUAUCUAAGGGUCCACAUUAGUUCCACUAUCAAUACUGUAAAAAUAAAUACAGCAUCAUAAAGAAAUCCAACUUUGAAUUGAUAAAGUUGUAUUCAACAGCUCUUGAAAAGACUAAGCUGGUCUUCUUUGCAUUUGAUCACUGGUAUUUCAGUUAAGUUUGUCGUUUACUUAAAUUUUUCUUGCUUUCAAUUUCCACUGUUGUUUUUUUUUUAAUAAAAUAAUUUGUUUAACUAGUCAUAGAAAUAAGAGAGAAAAUGGGCCAUUUCUUGACUCAAAGUCAAUUAUAAUUAUCAAAACUUGAGCGGACAUUGCAUGCCUAAAUUCCACGCACCCUAAAACGGUUUGAUUUGCUUUCACGCGUUCAUGAUUUUGCAUGAAAGAGAGUGCCUCUCGUCUCUUUCCGGACAGUGACUACAGUCAUGGAAAAAUUAUGUUAACGUGACGAAUACAAAACGUUAUUACAUACAAGAAUAAGUUUUUGGACCCGAGACUUGAGGGAGGUUCUAUCUAAUUCUAAAGAUUGUAACCAAAGCAUUAUCCCCAAUUUUUUUAAGUUAAAUAAAAUAAAAUUUAUGCUUAAGUAUAAAUAAUUUUUUAAAGUUAAAUAUAAAAUAAAAUUCAUGAACUUCCAAGAAAGAAAGAAGACCCUUCACCUUCUUCGUGACAACAAAUGAUGUUGAUAUGACAAAUACAAGCGCUAGUACAGGGAACAGCAUAAGACCGAGACUUGAUAAAUAUUAAAUAUAUAAAAUAAGUGGAGCAAACGAACAGAAUAAUAGAUUUUUAUAAUAUUCUUCAUAAAAAUCCAAGUUUUGAGCUGGCCCAUAAGCUUAUCUAGUGAAGUCUGGGUAUCCGCGUUGCCCAAGGUUCCGUUUGAAUUCAGGCUGUGCUGAUAUUUAUGACAUCCGACGGAGAGGAAAUAUUUUCAGUUGACUAAAUUAAAUAAAAGUAUAUUAUAAUCAUAUUAUAUAUUAGCAACAAAAAUAAAAAGAAAUGAAGAAAAACGCAUGCAAGACUUAGAGAAGUCAAUUAAAAGAUGGGAGUAUCAUCAGUUCAAUUGGUUAUAAAUAGCGUAGAGCCAUCCUCUCGUUGUUGCAGAAGAGAGACAGAAAGAGUGUGUGUAGGUGAUUAUAAUUAAGAAGAUAUAAUGUGUGGUUCAAAAAGAGUGUGGGUGAGUGAGUUAAUACUCAUAUUAUUAGUAGUAAAAGGGUGGUGGAGUGAGGGAUGUUUGGAGCAAGAGAGGUCUGCUCUCCUCCAACUCAGACAUUUCUUCAAUGAUGAUCAACGUCUUCAAAACUGGGUAGACGAUGAGAAUAAUUUAGAUUGUUGUCAGUGGGAAGGGAUUGAGUGCAACAACACCACUGGCAGUGUGAUUAAAUUAGAUCUAGCACAAACUCGAAAAUGGGAAUCAGCGAAGUGGUAUAUGAAUGCCUCUCUGUUUACUCCCUUUCAACAAUUAGAGUCUCUUGAUCUAAUUGGGAACAAUAUAGCUGAUUGUGUUAAAAACGAAGGUCAUUAAUUUACUCUAUUUUAAUUCUUCCUCCUCGUAAUUUCUUACAUCUAUCUGAUCCCUUUUGGCUUUUGUUUAAUUUGUACGUGAUACAAUAAAAUUAUUUUUUUUCAGGUUUGGAGAGGUUAUCAAGGUUGAACAACUUGAAGUUUCUUUUUUUAGAUGAUAACUACUUCAACAACAGCAUCUUUUCAUCUCUAGGUGGUCUUUCAUCACUCAGACACUUAUCAUUGGCUGUUAAUAGAUUGAAUGGAAGUGAUGAUAUUAAAGGUAAGUAAGCUUCAUCCCUUCUCCCGUGUCCCAUCUUUGUGGAUCUUAUUUCAUCGACCAGCUGGAAGUAUUGAUACGAGAUCUAGCUAGACUCUUGCUAGUUUAAGCUUCAAGGCUUUGAAUAUUAUAAAAAUAGGUUUAAGGAAUUAUCAAUAUAUGCAAUUUUCUAUGCUUCUCAUAAUCAGACACAAUUCAAUCUAAUUAUUUCGUAUGUCCUCUCUUCAAAAGUAAAGAAUUGUACACUAAACGGAAAUCGACAUUGUAGCUUUUUAUUUUUUCUAAUGCUCUUUCUUUGUUAACGAGUUUAUAUCCUGAGAGUGCAUUGGAUUCAAAAAAAAAAAAGUUUUGAUGUUCAAGGUAAGCCAUAAUAACAUGCAUCUUAUUUAUCUGUCUAUAUCUAAAUUUGUGCACUGAAUUUAGUAUUUUAGUUAGUGUGAAGGGAUCAGAUAUUGGCUUCCAUAAACCAACUUGUAUUUACUUAAUUAAUUAAUUAACACCAUUUAGUAUUUAACAAAUUAAAAUUUCGUGUUUAAUUUGUCUUAUUUUUUAUUUUUUGAAGCAAGAAUAAGGUAUAGCAGUAGGUAAAGUUGAAAUACAUAUUUAUUCCUUACAAAUUUAAAUUCGUUUUCAGCCAAAUAUACCUACUUAAAACCACUCAAUCAUGCCAUUGGCAACAGUUUUUUAGGUUUUUCUAGUUAACCGUGUACUUUUUUGCUUAUUAAUAAAAUUCUUUUGUGCUGAGAUUUAAAAUAAAGAAGGAGAAAAUAAGUUAUUUAAUUAACCUUGUUUUAAGUGUUGGCAUAAAUGCAGGACUGAAUUCCUUGAGUAACUUGGAGGAGCUGGACAUGACAGGCAAUGCAAUCGAAAAUCUUGUGGUUCCUAAAGGUAUACAAAAUGUUCAAAUAUUAAUAAUUUGGAGGACAGUUUAAUUGAUUUGAUUAGGGAAUGCCCAAAUGACACUUACCCAAAAUAAUUUAAUCCAAAAUUGUAUCCCAAACAGAUUUCAUAGGUUUGAGGAAGUUGAAUACCCUUAAUUUAGGGGGAAGCGAAAUUCGAAUGAUAGAUGGAAGCAAGGUGUUGCAAUCAAUAGGAUCACUACCGUCCCUCAAAACACUUUGCCUUUCAUAUACUAAUUUUACGGGAACAGUAGUUAAUCAAGGUAAGUAAAUCUUUUAUGUCGAAAAUAAUUGAAUUAAUAUAUAUAGCUAAAAUUUAUUGUUUCUACUUCUUUCUACAUAGAAUUGCACAAUUUCACCAACUUGGAAGAAUUGAUAUUGGGCAAAUCUGAUCUCCAUGUAAGCCAGCUUCUGCCAAGCAUCGCAUCAUUCACUUCGUUAAAGUAUUUGUCAAUGGGAGGUUGUAUACUCACAGGUGCCGUACAUGGUCAAGGUAAAUUAUGGGUAUCUGAAGCUUUUAAAUUUUUUCUUUUAAAUUUUUUAUAUUUUCACUGUCCAAUGGUUCUACCUUCUCUAAAUUGUAGGAUUCUUGAUUAAGGUUAAUGAAAUUUUUGUUCUGUUAUGUUAAGAAUAUUUCGAUCGCUUAGAAGAGUAAAGAAAAAUAAGUAAAUUAACCCAAAAAAAAAAGAAAAGAACAGGACCGGAUUAUCCUUAUUCCCUUGCAUUAUGUGAUCAAUAUCAAAAUUAUAACCAUUUCUUGUUUAUUGCUUGUAGAUUUUCGUAAAUUCAAGAAUUUGGAAAAUCUGGACAUGAAUCUGGUGUAUGUUGACGUCAACACCAGUUUUCUUCAAAUUGUCGGUGAAUCGAUGCCUUCUCUCAAGUUUUUAUCACUGACAGAUUCAAUUCUUAAUAAAAACACCAUUCUUGAUCAAGGUUAAUUAAUGAUUCUCCUUCUCCCUCUCUCGCAUCAUAACUAAAUUUAAUUGAGAAUAUCUAUAAUGCGAGCUAUUUAUAAACUUAAUGAAAGAUGAUAAGGAGCCAUAAUAAUGACAAAAAUAACUGUAAAAUAGUGCACUGUUGUAGUGUUGAUUGAAAAAUAAUGCUAAUUUUUUACUUAACAUUAUAACGCUGUAUAAUUUUACAGUUAUUUUGUUGCCAUUACGUCAGAUUAUACUGUUCAACUAUCAGUGAUCAAACUUAAUUUUUAAUGUGUACUUGAAAGAUAUGUAAUUAUUUAUCUAUGUGUACUGAAGGAUGAAUUAUAUAUUUUUCAGGACUUUGUCAGUUAGUGCAUCUGCAAGAGUUACACAUCGGCGGUAAUGAUUUGAGAGGUAGCUUGCCAUGGUGCUUGGCAAACAUGACAUCCCUUCAAGUGUUAGAUGCCUCUUCUAAUCAACUUACUGGAAACAUCUCCCCAGGCCUUUGUGAGUUGGUGUUUCUAAGAGAGUUAUCCAUUCAUAACAAUGAUUUAAGAGGUAGCUUGCCUUUGUGCAUGGCAAAUUUGACUUCCCUUCGAGUAUUAGAUGUCUCUUACAAUCAACUUACUGAAAACAUCUCAUCUUCCCUCAUGCAUCUAAUAUCUAUGGAAGAGCUCAUAAUUUCAAAUAAUCACUUCUUCCAAAUCCCUAUUUCACUUGAACCACUUUUCAAUCUCUCAAAACUCAAGACUUUCGAUGGUGAAAUAUGCGCAAAAACUGAGUCACAUUAUAAUUCUUUGACCCCAAAAUUCCAACUGACUUCUAUCUCACUAUCUGGUUACAUAGAUGGUGGCACAUUUCCCAAAUUCUUGUACCAUCAGCAUGACUUGAAGAAUGCUGAUCUCUCACACCUUAACUUGAGUGGAAAAUUUCCAAAUUGGUUGCUAGAAAACAAUACGAACUUAGAGACGCUUCUUCUUGCCAACAACUCUCUUUUUGGAUCAUUUCGGAUGCCAAUUCAUUCCCACCAGAAAUUGGCAAUAUUGAAUGUCUCCAACAAUUUCUUUCAAGGCCAUAUUCCGGUGGAAAUCGGAACAUAUCUGCCAGGUUUAACGGAUUUAAACUUAUCUAGAAAUGCUUUCAACAGUAGCAUUCCCUCUUCAUUUGCUGAUAUGAAAAUGUUGAAAAGGUUGGACAUAUCCUACAAUCAGUUGACUGGUGAAAUCCCUGAGCGCAUGGCCACGGGUUGCUUCUCAUUGGAAAUUCUUGCAUUGUCAAACAACAGUUUGCAAGGUCAUAUAUUCUCUAAAAAAUUUAACUUGACAAAUUUGAUGAGGUUGCAGUUGGAUGGUAAUAAAUUCAUUGGAGAGAUCCCAGAAAGCUUAUCUAAGUGCUAUUUGUUGGCAGGAUUGUAUCUGAGUGAUAAUCAUCUCUCUGGUGAGAUUCCAAGAUGGUUGGGUAAUUUGUCAAUUUUAGAAGAUAUUAUAAUGCCCAAUAACAAUCUGGAAGGACCAAUUCCAAUCGAGUUCUGUCAGCUUUAUUUUCUGACGAUUUUAGACCUUUCAAACAAUGCUAUUUUUGGAACCUUACCAUCUUGUUUUAGUCCAGCAUCUAUUGAACAAGUUCAUUUGUCAAAAAACAGGAUAGAAGGACGGUUGGAAAGUAUAAUCCAUGACAGCCCCAAUUUGGUGACAUUAGAUCUCAGUUAUAAUCGCUUACACGGAAGUAUUCCAAAUCGGAUUGAAAGACUACCUAAGUUAAACUACAUUCUUUUGGCUAAUAAUUAUAUUGAAGGCGAAAUACCAGUUCAAUUAUGCCAUUUGAAGGAAGUGCAGUUGAUUGAUCUUUCUCAUAAUAAUCUAUCUGGUCAUAUUCCUCCUUGCUUGGUUAACACUUCACUUAGUGAAGGUCAUCAUGAGGCAGUAGCUCCAACUUCUAGUUUGUUGGGUCAACUGCCUGCCUCACCUCCAUCUGAAUCUGAGGCUGCAAGUGGACCUCCGAUGGGAAAGGAAGAAACUGUACAGUUCACAACAAAGAAUAUGUCCUACUAUUAUCAAGGAAGAAUUUUGACGAGUAUGUCUGGGAUUGAUCUUUCUUGUAACAAACUGACAGGUGAGAUUCCUACUCAAAUUGGAUAUCUUACUAGGAUUCAUGCACUAAAUCUAUCUCAUAACAAUUUGACGGGCACAAUCCCGACAACAUUUUCAAACCUGAAGCAAAUCGAAAGCUUGGACCUCUCCUACAACCUACUGCAUGGGAAAAUCCCUUCUCAGCUCACUGUGCUAACUACAUUGGCGGUCUUCAGAGUAGCAUACAAUAACUUAUCAGGCAAAAUCCCAGAUAGAGUUGCACAAUUUUCAACAUUUGAGGAAGAUAGCUAUGAGGGGAAUCCUUUUCUUUGUGGAUGGCCACUGUCUAAAAGUUGCAAUGAUAGUGGAUUAUCAGCAGUGACACCAGAAGCUUACACUGAAAAUGAAGAAGGUGAUAGUUUAAUUGACAUGGACAGUUUCUUGAUCACUUUUACAGUAUCUUAUGGAAUUGUGAUAUUAGGAAUUAUCGGAGUUUUGUACGUAAACCCCUAUUGGCGGCGAAGAUGGUUUUACCUUGUUGAAGUGUGUAUGACCUCUUGCUACUAUUUUGUGGCAGACAAUCUUGUUCCUAGAAGAUUCUAUGGUGGAUGGAUGUAAUUUCAUUUACUUUACAACUUAUAUGUAAUUUUUAAAGAAUUUUCUUUUGCAUGCAUGGAAUAGCAACUCAAUAAAAGUAUUUGAUGCAAAUUGUCCAAGAACAACUUAGUAAUUUCAUUGCUACUAUUCGGUUGUAUAUAUACAGUUAAUGAAAUUUUUAAUCAUUCGCAGUAGGAAUUUCUUUAGAUGGCGGCCAAAACUAACAGAUUUGGGGCUCUACUUCUACACAUCAUAACAGGCAAAAGGUCUCUCUUUUACACGAUCUGAAUCAUUCAAUAGGUGUCUACUUCUACACAUCAUAACAGGCAAAAGGUCUCUACUUCUACGCCCCCUGGAGUUCUCCAUUAAACUUGACGGUUGAGAUUUCAGGUCCAGAUGAAAGUUAAAUGCAGGCGACGAGACUACACUUUAAGUAAACUGGGACAAACUUAAAAUAAAAAAAACUAUAGUCCAGGGUGAGAGUGAUGGGUAGCUCAACUUAUGGAGGAUAACUAGGACUUGGAAUAACUAUCAGAUUUGCAACUCUUGUAAUAUAUAGUGGGCAUUCAGGUAGCAAUUAUCGCCUUGGGAGUUACCGUAAUCGAUUCAUUUCCUCCUUCAUUUCUGAUGGUAACCCAGCUCUAUACAAGAACAAUAAGAGAAGGUUCCUUUAAGAAAUUUCACAACCCACAAUUUUUUUUUUUCCUUUUUGCCCUGUUCCUCACAAUAAACACACCUAACACACCAAGCCGUGCCCAAAAUAAUCCUAUUUUAUUCAUGUCAUGAAUCCAAAAACUAUCCCAGCUCACUUUGUUUAACCAGCAUAACUAAAUUGUGGGUAUAAAUGAACAGACUUUCGAAGCCUGUAACUUAUAAUAAGCUCAAACCCAAAAAUGACAUUUAAAUCCUGCAAGUGUUUUUCAUCAUCCCUAACAAAAAGAAACAAGAAUAAUUAUAUACCAAUAAUUUUUCCAUAAAAAAUACUGAUUUGAGUUGAAGCACUAUACAAACUGGGUUUUAUUACACUUGCAGAAAGCUACACGGUAGACAAAAUCUAGCAGCUACAUAUUGGUAUCACUUUCAGCUGGUCAUGAAUGGUGUGCAUUCAGCAGUGCACAAUAGACCAUGUCUAUGAAUUGAUUGUCCUAUUACAUAUAAAAGCUGGUCAGAUAUACAAGGAAAAAAAUAAUAAUUGAAAAUGCAUCACAAAAAAUAAGUGUUUCGCAUUAGUGUUUGCACUCUUAAGCAUGGCAAAGUGGUGCAGGGUUCAUGAUUUUGAAGACAAUGAUAAGUGAAAAAUAGUUCAAUCCAUUGAUGAACAUAAAUUUAUUUACAUGUCAAUUUAGAUACCAUCAAAAAGUAAACAGUAAUUCACAGUCACUUAAAAUAGUUGAUAAAAUGCGUGCCAUGAAUGCAUUUUUGUACAUAAGAAAUCCAAAGAGUAUUUCUGACAAUACAAAUAUGCUAGCUUUAAGUCUGCUGUCAAUAUGCAAUUAAGAAGAUUAUACCAGCUGCAUGAUAAAGUUCCCCUAAUCUUAAUAACAAUAAACAUGAACAUGUCAGAUGCAAUUCUAGCUUCGACCAUUUGCAUAACCAGAAAUCCUAACCUGAACAAGCACCAGAAGUGCCUCUCGGACUUUCUCCUUGCUGAUAAAUGGUCCACUGUUCCAAGUAAGAGCAGGAGUAAGAGAUGGUGGAGGGAUUGGUGGUGGAAACGGUUGAAGCACUGGGGCACCAUAUGGGCGUUGUAGACUCAAGGGAGUAUUAAGUGGCAGAGCUGUUGGUGUAGAUGAAGAGACAGGCUGCAUCAUCCCCGCAGAGGAGGAUGGAGGAGGAACAAAGAAUAAGGAAGGCUUUACAAGGUUAGGGGUAGGUGCUGACAGAGGUGGAGAUGGUAUUGCAAGGUUGGCACGAUAGGAGAAGCAACACUGGCGGGAUGAGAAGGUAAAGAAAUAGUUGUAUUGGACUGGUAAGGUUGUGCAGAGAUUGCUGCAUUAGAAGUAUUCCCCACAGUCAAAGCUGUCUGCAAUGAUAAGGACAGAUGUCAUAUACAAGGACAUCAUAGAAGUUGAACCUCACACAAAAAUGAAGUGAUAACAUGUGAAAAUAGUAUAUGACUUGCUGCAUUUUUGUGGUAAUGUUGCAUACUUAUGUAGAAACAUAUUAUUUCAAAGAAAACAUACACUGAAGAAGUUCACAAAAGCAGGAUCUUCAGGAACAUCAACAGCAUUUGAGGGAGUUGACUCUAGAGGACCAUCCAUAACUGCCAUAGUUGGAACAGCUUCCAGUUCCUCAAACUCACUGCAGUUUAACAUAAAAGGAACUUGAUGACCAAUUUAAGUAAUAAUUAGAUGAUAUACGAGGUUAGGGAAAAUGAUGAGUGGACCCUUAUGGAAGGUGAUUUCACCUUAGCUAAACAGGAAAAUAAAAAGAAAUCAAAGCUGAAUCCUCGAGUGCAAUGCAAAGAAUUUUUUCUCUCUUCUCUAACUCCUCUUAUUCAAAAUUGCUCAUCAUUGUGCUGUUCUUCGAGAUUUCGCUAGAGUAGAGAAAGCUAUUCUCCCGUUAAGUGCAGAGGAAAGAGAAGGGCAAAGGCCUGGUAUGAUGCUAUUCUAUAAGAAGUGAGAAAGUGAAGGGCUAAAAUAUUUUGCAAUUUGGAGGUGGUGUUUUUCAGUGUGUGUGCUUCUGAAUUUAUUACCUCUUUAGGAUCCAUAGAAAUUGCCUCUUGUUCAGCAUGCACUGUGCCUACGAGUAAGGCGAGCUUGCAUGGUAUCUAUUGUCUAUUUAUUUGGAUAUUCAAACAGGACUACCAGCAACCAAACACAAAUCCCCAAACAAAACACUCUUUCAAGUGCAAGGAAAGAGUAACUUGGGCAUAUUUAUGGUUCAAGCACUACCAUAACUAAGAAUGUGAUGCUGUCCACAAACACUAUAUCAGUGCCUUUUGAACUACAUCACAUGCUCGAAGACUUUUUUUUUAGUCAUACAUAAAUUAGCUAUAAAAUUAAGACUAUUAUACAACUAAAAAGAAAGAAAAAUUGUUUGCUACUACAUAUCAAAACUGGUAAUAGCAAUGUAAGAUGGCAGACUUCUUACUUAAACAGAUGAGAGGCUGCAAAUAAAAAAUUUGUGCAAAUAAAAUAUAUGAUAAAGAGCAUAAUACUUUCUUGGGGGCUAAAAAUAAUAUACAACUUGUGAAAUAUAAAUUGAGCUACCAUUACCUUUUAGAUGUAGCAACUUUCGACUUUUGAGGCACCUUGGAAUAUGCAUUCAGAAUCCUGCAUUUGGAAGCCAAAUAAAUAAUGUCAACAACAAUUUUACAAUAGAAAAAUUAAAAAUUGAUAAAUGGCAGUUGUAAUUUAUGUAUGUGUAAAGAUAGCAUCACAUCCAGGGUCCUCCCAUAAACAUGCUUGUAACAAGAAUUAGUUUGCCUCAACUGCUAGCAACUAUACAAUAGUAAAAAUCACUCUUAUGAACUCAACAAUACUAGGCACCAAUAAGAGUAUGAUACCGCCAUUCUAAAUGGAAGAGAAUACAACUGUUUUACAACUAUGUCACAUCAGGAGAUAUGCUAGGAGGAUUAAUCCAGAUACCAUCCAACCCAAUUUGGAAAACUCGAGUCAGAAACCAGGAGCUGUAACCAAACCUUACAAUCUUGAAGGAAGAAGGAGACUUGGGGCAUUUUUCCAGAUAGGUGACUUACAAGAUCUCCUGCCAAGAAAAUAUCUAUUGCUUUGAACCUCCAUUGAAAUUUCUUUUCCCUUUUUCUUGUUUUGACUUGGAACUUUCCAGCAUCAUCUAUUUGAUCUUUUUUAAAGCUAAAAUAGCAAUCUAUGGGUUGUCAACAUCUUAUCCCCCCCCCCCCCCCCCUCGGGGGGGCCCCCAAAAAAAAAAAACCAAUGAGUUGUCAAUAAAUAGCACCUACUCAACUUAUGUUCUCCAAUGGAUGACAAUGUGCAAAUCGACCUAGCAGCCACAUUUUUCCCCCCUUUCAACCACCAUUAGGCAACUUUUCUAACCUUUCUUCAUUGCCCACGUCUACAGAACUAUCAUAUAAAGACUACAUUAUUAUUGGGAUAGAGAAUAAAAUACAGACUAUAUUAUUAUUAUAUCUAAUUUUAUGAAUUAACUAGUGCAAGACUUAUUUAGUGUCAAAUCAAGAACUAAUUAGAAAAGACAACUCAUGAUAAUACAGAC
RNAcentral lists this long non-coding RNA (23570 nucleotides) under Citrus x clementina. Its description in RNAcentral is "Citrus clementina (C. clementina) long non-coding RNA (CCLE_LNC001063)". Lineage: Eukaryota; Viridiplantae; Streptophyta; Magnoliopsida; Sapindales; Rutaceae. The record is from RNAcentral.